GUCUGAAUAUGGGGGGACCAUCCUCCAAGGCUAAAUACUCCUGACUGACCGAUAGUGAACCAGUACCGUGAGGGAAAGGCGAAAAGAACCCCGGCGAGGGGAGUGAAAAAGAACCUGAAACCGUGUACGUACAAGCAGUGGGAGCACAGGUUUACCUGUGUGACUGCGUACCUUUUGUAUAAUGGGUCAGCGACUUAUAUUCUGUAGCAAGGUUAACCGAAUAGGGGAGCCGGAGGGAAACCGAGUCUUAAUUGGGCGUUAAGUUGCAGGGUAUAGACCCGAAACCCGGUGAUCUAGCCAUGGGCAGGUUGAAGGUUGGGUAACACUAACUGGAGGACCGAACCGACUAAUGUUGAAAAAUUAGCGGAUGACCUGUGGCUGGGGGUGAAAGGCCAAUCAAACCGGGAGAUAGCUGGUUCUCCCCGAAAGCUAUUUAGGUAGCGCCUCGUGAAUUCAUCUCCGGGGGUAGAGCACUGUUUCGGCUAGGGGGCCAUCCCGGCUUACCAACCCGAUGCAAACUGCGAAUACCGGAGAAUGUUAUCACGGGAGACACACGGCGGGUGCUAACGUCCGUCGUGAAGAGGGAAACAACCCAGACCGCCAGCUAAGGUCCCAAAGUCAUGGUUAAGUGGGAAACGAUGUGGGAAGGCCCAGACAGCCAGGAUGUUGGCUUAGAAGCAGCCAUCAUUUAAAGAAAGCGUAAUAGCUCACUGGUCGAGUCGGCCUGCGCGGAAGAUGUAACGGGGCUAAACCAUGCACCGAAGCUGCGGCAGCGACGCUUAUGCGUUGUUGGGUAGGGGAGCGUUCUGUAAGCCUGUGAAGGUGGCCUGUGAGGGUUGCUGGAGGUAUCAGAAGUGCGAAUGCUGACAUAAGUAACGAUAAAGCGGGUGAAAAGCCCGCUCGCCGGAAGACCAAGGGUUCCUGUCCAACGUUAAUCGGGGCAGGGUGAGUCGACCCCUAAGGCGAGGCCGAAAGGCGUAGUCGAUGGGAAACGGGUUAAUAUUCCCGUAC
RNAcentral lists this ribosomal RNA (1011 nucleotides) under Salmonella enterica subsp. enterica serovar Dublin. RNAcentral's name for it is "partial 23S ribosomal RNA". It matches the Rfam family "Bacterial large subunit ribosomal RNA", at positions 436 to 1444 of the family's 2925-position model. The record is from RNAcentral. Lineage: Bacteria; Pseudomonadati; Pseudomonadota; Gammaproteobacteria; Enterobacterales; Enterobacteriaceae.